Lolium perenne is the source of this 982-nucleotide long non-coding RNA. RefSeq lists it as uncharacterized. The record is from RefSeq and is a predicted model, not a curated record. Lineage: Eukaryota; Viridiplantae; Streptophyta; Magnoliopsida; Poales; Poaceae.
CGUCAUCAGUUUUGGAAGGAAAUAGUCAUCAGUUUUGGAAGGAAAUAAGUCUCGUCCGAGUUUCAACCAAUCAAAUAGAUAAUCCAGCCAAUCGGAAAGAAGUCUCGCUCCUCCGACGAGCGACGCCGUUGUGCCCCGGCCCCGACGCUCCAUGCCGCCGCCCCGCCCACGUUGUGGACCUUCGAGCGACGCUGCCGCGGAUCUGCAAGCGAUGGCGCUGUCAUCCGGCCAGCCUUCAACUGCGAGAUUGGACAUCAGUCCUUCGCGCCUGGUGGAUCGUCGCCUCUGUCCUUACCGGUGGGAUCGGACCCCCAGCCUCAACAGCGGGAUCGUAGUUGGCGGCCACCGCCAUCCUCACCUGCGGGAUCGGACACCACUGCCACAAGGCUAACUGAUAAUAUGAACUUAUACCUGAGAAUGAGGGGGAGUGUGACACUUCCAUUAUAGAUGGCGUACCUGUCAAAAACGCCUAGUCUGAUGAUAACAUAUGCAAGAUUAGAGUUAGCCUUGCCCACAAGUUGAAAGAGCUUUUUUUCCAUUGUGAAGUCCGCAGUCUUCUCCUUUCAACCAUGUUGUCACAGAUGGCUUCGCAACCAUUGCAUCUCGCCAUUGUGGAAUAAAUGCCAUCACGUGAGAAUGAUAGUGCAGGUUCAGUGUUACAAAUGCGGAUUAAGCUCGAAGUCCUUUAGCCGCCAUUAUUCUGUCUGGGACAUAAGAGGCCAGAUAGUGAGACUAUCUUGGAUGCAAGAGCCAGGAGCUGAACUGGGGAACUUCUUUGGUCGCCAGUGUUGGUGCACACAAGUCCCAAAUUUGCAUCCGCGUUGUAAUUUUGCAUUGUUGGAAUAGUGAGUAGGUGAUAUAGCUGUCAGAUUUUGGAGGCAUCAUGUAAAACUGGUAAACUUUUGGUGUUGAUGAAUUGAAACUUUGUACAUUUUUAUUUUGUCGAUGGUAAAGCUGCUAUAUUGAAACUUUGUCAUCACUU